Molecule: ribosomal RNA, 467 nt
Filed under: uncultured bacterium
Lineage: Bacteria
Description: partial 16S ribosomal RNA
Rfam family: Bacterial small subunit ribosomal RNA
Source: RNAcentral
ACGAACGCUGGCGGCGUGCUUAACACAUGCAAGUCGCACGGAAAGGCCCUGCUUUUGUGGGGUGCUCGAGUGGCGAACGGGUGAGUAACACGUGAGUAACCUGCCCUUGACUUUGGGAUAACUUCAGGAAACUGGGGCUAAUACCGGAUAGGAGCUCCUGCUGCAUGGUGGGGGUUGGAAAGUUUCGGCGGUUGGGGAUGGACUCGCGGCUUAUCAGCUUGUUGGUGGGGUAGUGGCUUACCAAGGCUUUGACGGGUAGCCGGCCUGAGAGGGUGACCGGCCACAUUGGGACUGAGAUACGGCCCAGACUCCUACGGGAGGCAGCAGUGGGGAAUAUUGCACAAUGGGCGGAAGCCUGAUGCAUCAACGCCGCGUGCGGGAUGACGGCCUUCGGGUUGUAAACCGCUUUCGCCUGUGACGAAGCGUGAGUGACGGUAAUGGGUAAAGAAGCACCGGCUAACUACGUG